This 482-nucleotide ribosomal RNA is filed under the name Salmonella enterica. RNAcentral's name for it is "partial 23S ribosomal RNA". It matches the Rfam family "Bacterial large subunit ribosomal RNA", at positions 1182 to 1639 of the family's 2925-position model. RNAcentral also lists the same sequence under 1 other name. Lineage: Bacteria; Pseudomonadati; Pseudomonadota; Gammaproteobacteria; Enterobacterales; Enterobacteriaceae. The record is from RNAcentral.
ACGAUUGACGGAGCGGAGCGACGUCAAAGCGUUUUACAACGUUGAGUUGGCUUAGGGAUACGUUCGUUGGGUAGGGGAGCGUUCUGUAAGCCUGCGAAGGUGUGCUGUGAGGCAUGCUGGAGGUAUCAGAAGUGCGAAUGCUGACAUAAGUAACGAUAAAGCGGGUGAAAAGCCCGCUCGCCGGAAGACCAAGGGUUCCUGUCCAACGUUAAUCGGGGCAGGGUGAGUCGACCCCUAAGGCGAGGCCGAAAGGCGUAGUCGAUGGGAAACGGGUUAAUAUUCCCGUACUUGGUGUUACUGCGAAGGGGGGACGGAGAAGGCUAUGUUGGCCGGGCGACGGUUGUCCCGGUUUAAGCGUGUAGGUGUGUGUUCCAGGUAAAUCCGGUUCACUUUAACACUGAGGCGUGAUGACGAGGCACUACGGUGCUGAAGCAACAAAUGCCCUGCUUCCAGGAAAAGCCUCUAAGCAUCAGGUAACACGA